CCCUUAGAUGUUCUGGGCCGCACGCGCGCUACACUGAUGCAUUCAACGAGUCUAAAACCUGCUCUGAUAGGGGUGGGUAAUCUUUUGAAUGUGCAUCGUGAUUGGGAUAGAUGAUUGCAGUUUUUCAUCUUCAACGAGGAAUGCCUAGUAAACGCAAGUCAUCAGCUUGCAUUGAUUACGUCCCUGCCCUUCGUACACACCGCCCGUCGCUCCUACCGAUUGAAUGAUCCGAUGAAUAUCAUGGAUUGAGGAUGCAAGUAGGUUAGCCUAUCUUCAUCUUCGAGAAGUGAAGUAAAUCUUAUCAUUUAGAGGAAGGAGAAGUCGUAACA
Molecule: ribosomal RNA, 329 nt
Filed under: uncultured eukaryote
Lineage: Eukaryota
Description: partial 18S ribosomal RNA
Rfam family: Eukaryotic small subunit ribosomal RNA
Source: RNAcentral